ACAGCCCCGUACACAAAAAUGCACAUGCUGUGAGCUCGAUGAGUAGGGCGGGACACGUGGUAUCCUGUCUGAAUAUGGGGGGACCAUCCUCCAAGGCUAAAUACUCCUGACUGACCGAUAGUGAACCAGUACCGUGAGGGAAAGGCGAAAAGAACCCCGGCGAGGGGAGUGAAAAAGAACCUGAAACCGUGUACGUACAAGCAGUGGGAGCACGCUUAGGCGUGUGACUGCGUACCUUUUGUAUAAUGGGUCAGCGACUUAUAUUCUGUAGCAAGGUUAACCGAAUAGGGGAGCCGAAGGGAAACCGAGUCUUAACUGGGCGUUAAGUUGCAGGGUAUAGACCCGAAACCCGGUGAUCUAGCCAUGGGCAGGUUGAAGGUUGGGUAACACUAACUGGAGGACCGAACCGACUAAUGUUGAAAAAUUAGCGGAUGACUUGUGGCUGGGGGUGAAAGGCCAAUCAAACCGGGAGAUAGCUGGUUCUCCCCGAAAGCUAUUUAGGUAGCGCCUCGUGAAUUCAUCUCCGGGGGUAGAGCACUGUUUCGGCAAGGGGGUCAUCCCGA
RNAcentral lists this ribosomal RNA (563 nucleotides) under Escherichia coli. RNAcentral describes it as "partial 23S ribosomal RNA". It matches the Rfam family "Bacterial large subunit ribosomal RNA", at positions 367 to 934 of the family's 2925-position model. Lineage: Bacteria; Pseudomonadati; Pseudomonadota; Gammaproteobacteria; Enterobacterales; Enterobacteriaceae. The record is from RNAcentral.